CCUACGGGGGGCAGCAGUGGGGAAUAUUGGACAAUGGGGGCAACCCUGAUCCAGCCAUGCCGCGUGCGUGAAGAAGGCCCUCGGGUUGUAAAGCACUUUCAGUGAGGAAGAACGCCUGGUGGUUAAUACCCAUCAGGAAAGACAUCACUCACAGAAGAAGCACCGGCUAACUCCGUGCCAGCAGCCGCGGUAAUACGGAGGGUGCGAGCGUUAAUCGGAAUUACUGGGCGUAAAGCGCGCGUAGGUGGCUUGAUAAGCCGGUUGUGAAAGCCCCGGGCUCAACCUGGGAACGGCAUCCGGAACUGUCAAGCUAGAGUGCAGGAGAGGAAGGUAGAAUUCCCGGUGUAGCGGUGAAAUGCGUAGAGAUCGGGAGGAAUACCAGUGGCGAAGGCGGCCUUCUGGACUGACACUGACACUGAGGUGCGAAAGCGUGGGUAGCAAACAGGAUUAGAUACCCUAGUAGUC
RNAcentral lists this ribosomal RNA (465 nucleotides) under Vreelandella stevensii. Its description in RNAcentral is "partial 16S ribosomal RNA". It matches the Rfam family "Bacterial small subunit ribosomal RNA", at positions 338 to 795 of the family's 1533-position model. Lineage: Bacteria; Pseudomonadati; Pseudomonadota; Gammaproteobacteria; Oceanospirillales; Halomonadaceae. The record is from RNAcentral.